RNAcentral lists this small RNA (150 nucleotides) under Helianthus annuus (common sunflower). RNAcentral describes it as "Bacterial large subunit ribosomal RNA". It matches the Rfam family "Bacterial large subunit ribosomal RNA", at positions 2657 to 2813 of the family's 2925-position model. Lineage: Eukaryota; Viridiplantae; Streptophyta; Magnoliopsida; Asterales; Asteraceae. The record is from RNAcentral.
GGGUAUUGACCGGGCCAGGCCAAAAGGGCGCUUCGAAAGCACCUCUGGUGUACCAGUUAUCGUGCCCACGGUAAACGCUGGGUAGCCAAGUGCGGAGCGGAUAACUGCUGAAAGCAUCUAAGUAGUAAGCCCACCCCAAGAUGAGUGCUC